UGGGGAAUUUUGGACAAUGGGGGAAACCCUGAUCCAGCCAUCCCGCGUGUGCGAUGAAGGCCUUCGGGUUGUAAAGCACUUUUGGCAGGAAAGAAACGUCAUGGGUUAAUACCCCGUGAAACUGACGGUACCUGCAGAAUAAGCACCGGCUAACUACGUGCCAGCAGCCGCGGGAAUACGUAGGGUGCAAGCGUUAAUCGGAAUUACUGGGCGUAAAGCGUGCGCAGGCGGUUCGGAAAGAAAGAUGUGAAAUCCCCGGGCUAAACUUUGGAACUGAAUUUUUAACUACCGGGCUAGAGUGUGUCAGAGGGAGGUGGAAUUCCGCGUUUGGCAGUUAAAUGCGUAGAUAUGCGGAGGAACACCGAUGGCGAAGGCAGCCUCCUGGGAUAACACUGACGCUCAUGCACGAAAGCGUAGGGAGCAAACAGG
Molecule: ribosomal RNA, 429 nt
Filed under: Acidobacteriota bacterium
Lineage: Bacteria; Pseudomonadati; Acidobacteriota
Description: Acidobacteria bacterium partial 16S ribosomal RNA
Rfam family: Bacterial small subunit ribosomal RNA
Source: RNAcentral